GACGAACGCUGGCGGCGUGCUUAACACAUGCAAGUCGAACGGUGAAGCGCCUUCCUUUUUGGUGGGUGUGGAUGAGUGGCGAACGGGUGAGUAACACGUGAGUAACCUGCCCCCUUCUUCUGGAUAACCGCAUGAAAGUGUGGCUAAUACGGGAUAUUCUGGGUCUGUCGCAUGAUGGGUCUGGGAAAGAUAUUGUUUCGGUGGGGGAUGGGCUCGCGGCCUAUCAGCUUGUUGGUGGGGUGAUGGCCUACCAAGGCGGUGACGGGUAGCCGGCCUGAGAGGGUGGACGGUCACACUGGGACUGAGACACGGCCCAGACUCCUACGGGAGGCAGCAGUGGGGAAUAUUGCACAAUGGGCGCAAGCCUGAUGCAGCGACGCCGCGUGAGGGGUGGAGGCCUGCGGGUUGUGAACCUCUUUCGCCAGUGAAGCAGGCCUGCCUCGUUUGUGGGUGGGUUGACGGUAGCUGGAUAAGAAGCGCCGGCUAACUACGUG
RNAcentral lists this ribosomal RNA (494 nucleotides) under uncultured bacterium. Its description in RNAcentral is "partial 16S ribosomal RNA". It matches the Rfam family "Bacterial small subunit ribosomal RNA", at positions 28 to 507 of the family's 1533-position model. The record is from RNAcentral.